Molecule: ribosomal RNA, 446 nt
Filed under: uncultured Neorhizobium sp.
Lineage: Bacteria; Pseudomonadati; Pseudomonadota; Alphaproteobacteria; Hyphomicrobiales; Rhizobiaceae
Description: bacterial SSU rRNA
Rfam family: Bacterial small subunit ribosomal RNA
Source: RNAcentral
UUUAGAGUUUGGAUCUGGCUCAGAACGAACGCUGGCGGCAGGCUUAACACAUGCAAGUCGAACGCUCCGCAAGGAGAGUGGCAGACGGGUGAGUAACACGUGGGAACGUACCCUUUACUACGGAACAACUCCGGGAAACUGGAGCUAAUACCGUAUGUGCCCUUCGGGGGAAAGAUUUAUCGGUAAAGGAUCGGCCCGCGUUGGAUUAGCUAGUUGGUGGGGUAAAGGCCUACCAAGGCGACGAUCCAUAGCUGGUCUGAGAGGAUGAUCAGCCACAUUGGGACUGAGACACGGCCCAAACUCCUACGGGAGGCAGCAGUGGGGAAUAUUGGACAAUGGGCGCAAGCCUGAUCCAGCCAUGCCGCGUGUGUGAUGAAGGCCUUAGGGUUGUAAAGCACUUUCACCGGAGAAGUAUAAUGACGGUAUCCGGAGAAGAAGCACCGUCU